GAUGAACGCUGGCGGCGUGCCUAAUACAUGCAAGUCGAGCGAACAGACGAGAGUGCUUGCACUCCCUGACGUUAGCGGCGGCCGGGUGAGUAACACGUGGGUAACCUACCUAUAAGACUGGGAUAACUUCGGGAAACCGGAGCUAAUACCGGAUAAUAUUUAGCUUCGCAUGAAGCAAUAGUGAAAGACGGUUCUGCUGUCACUUAUAGAUGGACCCGCGGUGUAUUAGCUAGUUGGUGAGGUAACGGCUCACCAAGGCAACGAUACAUAGCCGACCUGAGAGGGUGAUCGGCCACACUGGGACUGAGACACGGCCCAGACUCCUACGGGAGGCAGCAGUAGGGAAUCUUCCGCAAUGGACGAAAGUCUGACGGAGCAAUGCCGCGUGAGUGAAGAAGGUUUUCGGAUCGUAAAACUCUGUUGUAAGGGAAGAACAAGUACGUUAGUAACUGAACGUACCUUGACGGUACCUUACCAGAAAGCCACGGCUAACUACGUG
Molecule: ribosomal RNA, 499 nt
Filed under: uncultured bacterium
Lineage: Bacteria
Description: partial 16S ribosomal RNA
Rfam family: Bacterial small subunit ribosomal RNA
Source: RNAcentral